Long non-coding RNA from Lagenorhynchus albirostris (white-beaked dolphin), 446 nucleotides. RefSeq lists it as uncharacterized. Lineage: Eukaryota; Metazoa; Chordata; Mammalia; Artiodactyla; Delphinidae. The transcript is spliced from 3 exons. The record is from RefSeq and is a predicted model, not a curated record.
UUAUCUGCUUGAUGUCGUAUACGAAUUCCGAAGAAACAUUUAAUGGAGAUGUACUUUUGUGUUUACAUCUGUGGCAACGGAAUUGACUGCAAGUGAAGCAGCACAAAACAGGAUAAAAUCCCAGAAAGUGCCAAGCCUCAACACCCAUGGGGUUUGGGUCCGGAAUUCAUCACGACUGACAGGUCAUCUACACACACAGGUGUGCUAUUCCACUGGAUCAGUAAGACAGGAAUCCUUGACCCAAGAUCUUACCAGCAAACACAGGAAAAGAACUGUCAAGAAAAGAAUUACUCUACCUAAGUGAAUCUCCUAGUCAGCCAUGCCACCGAGGACCUCUUUCCAGAUCUAUGUCGAUUUUAACAGCUGCCCAGUUUUCCAUAAUUCAUGUAACCAGUUCCCUAUGGAGAAAAAUUUAAGUUGUCUCCUUUGUGUUUGUACAAAAAAUA